Long non-coding RNA from Theobroma umbraticum, 754 nucleotides. RefSeq lists it as uncharacterized. The record is from RefSeq and is a predicted model, not a curated record. Lineage: Eukaryota; Viridiplantae; Streptophyta; Magnoliopsida; Malvales; Malvaceae.
CGCAAAACUCUAAAACAGAGUUUCUCGUACAAAGUCUUUAGGGAGUCCAUUCGCUCUUCCAAGGAAUAUAUUUAAAACUAACCCACGCUCCACCGCCUGUUCUACACGCGCCGCUAAGUAAAAACUUGUUCAAAAUGGCUGAAGAAAAGAAGGAAGAAAUCAAGUCGUUUAAAGAUUUAGGCUUAUGCGACGAAUUAGUGGAAGCAUGCGAUAGUUUAAGUUGGAAAACCCUACCAAAAUCCAAGUCGAACCCAUACCCCACGCGCUCAUAGGGAAGGAUUUGGUUGGGCUUGCGCAAACUGGGAUAAAAAUCUGCACCCGUGUUCUUCGCUUUGGUGCUUUCCCCAACACGGGAGCUUGCCAGUCAAAUUGCGGAACAAUUUGAAGCUUUAAGAUCUGGGAUUAGCCUGAAAUGUGCAGUGCUUGUUGGAGGGGUGGACCUAAUGCAACAACAAAUUGCCCUUGGAAAGUGGCAACCCAUCAUUGUAAGUUCAUCUUUUGCUUCCUUGCUAUAUUCUGAAAAGUGUUUGUGCUAUGAAGCAAUUUUGAGCCUAAAGGAUCUGGGUUAAGUAGAUCUGUGAGAAAAGACCUUAUUGUAAUUAUGAAGCUGCAGAUUACAGUAUGAUGGACAAAAUUGAUUGUAAGUUUCGGAGUGUAAUGUGUGUUGAGCCUUUCUAAGUUGCUUAUUUUCUAUGAUGUAGUGACGAAGGUUAUGCUUGGUGGUUUUCAGUGUACUCAUGCUUGAUUUUUUUGA